AUGUCUCUCUGAAUUUCUUUCUUAUUCGAUUGAGAUCUCAAACUGUUAUAUGGAACAUUAUGCUCAUUAUGCUUGUAUAUUUAUGUGUUUGUUUGUUAUUGAUUGAGAUCUGAAACAGUUGUGUUUCUCUGUGAGGUUUUAAUAUGUAUACUUGUUCCUCAGAUGCCAUUAUUAUUUGCUUUACAUGUGGAUUAAUUAAUAACCAUGUUUAUAUGUGUGUAAGAACUAAAAAUAUAAUAAAACUGAAUGGAAAAAAGAUAAUUCAUAUAGUAGACGCUUUAUAUAACAUUGUUGAUGAUGAGAUUAUUUUAUUCCACUGUUGUUUUCUUCUUCUUCAUCAUUCUUUAUUCUUUCCAAAUAUUAUUAUUAAUAUUUCAAUGCUCAGGGAUAUACAUUAUAAAUCUUGGAAGAACAUGGGAGAAGCUUCAGAUGGCAGCCAGGUUUAUUGUUGCGAUUGAAAACCCGCAGGACAUCAUUGUUCAAUCUACUAGGCCAUAUGGUCAGAUAGCGGUUUUGAAGUUUGUGCAGUACAUGCUGGGCGACAUACUCCCGGAACAUUUCACUAAUCAGCUUCAAACUUCAUUCAGAAAGCCUCGCCUCCUCAUCCUCACUGAUCCAAGGAUUGAUCGCCAAGUUAAUACUUCUUUCAAUUGUUUACUCUCAACCUAUCAAGGAAGCUGCACUUGGAAACAUUCCAACUAUCGCUUUCUGUGACACUGAUUCCUCAAUGCGAUAUGUUGAUAUUGAUAUCCCUGCAAAUAACAAGGGAAAACAUAGCAUUGGCUGUCUAUUCUGGCUCUUGGCGAGGAUGGUUUUCGCAGAUGCGCAACACAAUCCCUCAGGGGCACGAGUGGGACGUCAUGGUAAACAUUAUCAGGAAGAAGGUUGAUUUAUUUUCCUACAGGGAGCCCGAGGAAUCAAAGGAGCAAGCUGAAGAGUAAGCACCUGCAGCAGGAGAUUACACUGCUCCAGGAAUUCCUAGUGCAGGUGAUCUGUGGCCUAGCCAAAUUUGUGAAGGCCAGUGGGUCUCUGACGUGGUCCCGAGUGCCAAUGCAUGUGAUUUUGCUGAAGGUGAUUACGGAGUUUUUUGAAUAUGAUUCUACUGAAUGUGAUUCUGUGCAAGGUGAUUACAGAGAUUACAGUGCACCUGCAAGCCACUGGCCUAGCGAAAUUGCUGAAGGUGAUUUUCUGUUGGCCGACGCGGUCCAGCUAAUGGCUAAUGGUUCGGAUUCUACAGCUGCACCUCCACGAAACAAUUCCGGGUCCCUGAAUGAAUACUGUUCCCGCUGCUGCUGCUCAAAACGAAUGGGUAUAGGACCUUGACCUCCAACUCUAUUCCUGAAUGAGAUUAUCUUUGAACUUGGAAAAGGGAUUUUGUAAGGAUUUUGUUUUUGGAGAAAAAAAGUUAAGGUGUAGUUUAUGUUUAGUUUGAAAAUUUUCUUUGAACUUGGAAAAGGGAUUUUGUAAGGAUUUUGUUUUUGGAGAAAAAAAGUUAAGGUGUAGUUUAUGUUUAGUUUGAAAAUUUUGAUUGUUGGGUUCCUAGAAAAUAUGGAUUGGUUGUUUAACAUUUAUAUUGUCAUUUUCUUGUGGUUUUCUUUCCAUCCCGUUGAUGUACUUUCUUCUAUUAAAAGUGGCAAGAAAUUGUCGGUUUUUGUUACUAUUCCUUUUAUCUAAUGA
This is a long non-coding RNA of Cornus florida, 1677 nucleotides long. RefSeq lists it as uncharacterized. The record is from RefSeq and is a predicted model, not a curated record. The transcript is spliced from 3 exons. Lineage: Eukaryota; Viridiplantae; Streptophyta; Magnoliopsida; Cornales; Cornaceae.